AACGAACGCUGGCGGCAUGCCUAACACAUGCGAGUCGAACGAGACCUUCGGGUCUAGUGGCGCACGGGUGCGUAACGCGUGGGAACCUGCCCUUAGGUUCGGAAUAACUCCCCGAAAGGGGUGCUAAUACCGGAUAAUGUCUUCGGACCAAAGAUUUAUCGCCUUUGGAUGGGCCCGCGUUGGAUUAGCUAGUUGGUAGGGUAAAAGCCUGCCAAGGCGACGAUCCAUAGCUGGUCUGAGAGGAUGAUCAGCCACACUGGGACUGAGACACGGCCCAGACUCCUACGGGAGGCAGCAGUGGGGAAUAUUGGACAAUGGGCGAAAGCCUGAUCCAGCAAUGCCGCGUGAGUGAUGAAGGCCUUAGGGUUGUAAAGCUCUUUUACCCGGGAUGAUAAUGACAGUACCGGGAGAAUAAGCGCCGGCUAACUCCGUG
This 433-nucleotide ribosomal RNA is filed under the name uncultured bacterium. RNAcentral's name for it is "partial 16S ribosomal RNA". It matches the Rfam family "Bacterial small subunit ribosomal RNA", at positions 29 to 507 of the family's 1533-position model. The record is from RNAcentral.